RNAcentral lists this long non-coding RNA (1608 nucleotides) under Phocoena sinus (vaquita). Its description in RNAcentral is "lncRNA (ENSPSNG00000019682.1)". The record is from RNAcentral. Lineage: Eukaryota; Metazoa; Chordata; Mammalia; Artiodactyla; Phocoenidae.
GGAGCCCCGCUGGGUGGGAGGCCCCUGGCGCGUCGGGAUGAAAGGCCUGGCCGGCCGCAGAGGCCGCGAGAGGCCGAGGCCCACUCCGCGGGGCGGGAGGGCUGCCCCGCUCGGGGCGGACCCACACCCGGAGCCGGGACAAAGGAGGGAGCCCGCUGGCUAGAGAGAAACCGAGCUGGGCCUGUGCGGCGGCUGGAGAAGAACCCAGAGACACUGAACGGAAGGGAGCGAGCCAAAGACCUAGAUAGAUCGCAGGGCCAGACGCGGUCCGAAUGAGGCCGGGGCAAGAUCCAGACGGGCUGCCGGGUGAGGCCAAGGGAACACUCAGACCACAAAGAAUCCCAGGAACAAAGGGUUUUCCAGAAACGGAAGAAACUGAACUCGAAAUCAGAGAGCCUACCCAGCACCAUGAAGUAACCAGGCCCAGAACGAGGGGCCAGAGCCUGAGAAAUGACAACUGAGGGAAUGAAAACAGGAUUCUGACUGCACCGUGGGGUGAAUAAGUGGAGAGACAGGAGGACACACAUCUAUGGGGAAAAGAUGCAACAGGAUUAUUAUACUGUGACAGCCUCAGGCACAGAAAGGCUUAGAUCAAAAGGGAGAAAUAUGGGAACCUGAGACUGAAUCAGGACUGCUAUGGAACAAAGAAAAGAAUUCUGGAGUAUAGCUGCUCAGGGAAGAAAAAGGGAAGCCAAUUAUUCUCCGUCAUCAGGGAAAAGGAAAGAAUGAAGAAAGGACGCUGGUAAAUAUGGGUAGGGAUGUGCUGGAGACAAUUUUGAGAAGGGAGUUCCCAGUAUCCUCUGAUCCUGCAUUCAGUUGUGUAUCCUUCAGACCCAAUAUUCACAGACUGCAUUGGGGCCAAGAGCAGUGAACGAGGAACUCAGGUAAAUGCAGGUGAUUUUUUGCCCACAUCUACCCCCAUCCAGCCAUUACCCUCCCCAGCCUCAACAAGCCUGUUGAUUUGGGGGAUGGGGGGAGCAGGUGGAAAAGUGGUUCUGGGUUAAAAGCUAGGCUGGCUGAUCUCAUAGUAACAGCACGCUAGCAAGUAAAAGGAGAAUUCAUGUGACACUGAGCAGACAAAACUGGGACUCAGGCUUCCACUUCAGUUCCCAUUCUGAGAUUUUUAAGAGAAGCUUCUCAUCCCCAGGGCAAGGCCUGCAUCUCAGUACGCUAUGAGUAGUGCCAAGUAUUUGGUCAAUGCUCAGCAAGCACAUUAAUAACAAGAAGAGAUGAUAGGGCUUCCCUGGUGGCGCAGUGGUUAAGAAUCCGCCUGCCAAUGUAAGGGACACGGGUUCGAGCCCUGGUCCGGGAAGAUCGCACAUGCCAUGGAGCAACUAAGCCCGUGCGCCACAACUACUGAGCGUGCGCUCUAGAGCCCGCAAGCCACAACUACUGAGCCCACGUGCCACAACUACUGAGCCCACGUGCCACAACUACUGAGCCCACGUGCCACAACUACUGAGCCCACGUGCCACAACUACUGAGCCCACGUGCCACAACUACUGAGCCCACGUGCCACAACUACUGAAGCCCGCGUACCUAGAGCCCGUGCUCCGCAAGAAGUCACCACAAUGAGAAGCCUGCGCACCACAACAAAGAGUAGUCCCU